GAUGAACGCUGGCGGCGUGCCUAAUACAUGCAAGUCGAGCGAACAGAUAAGGAGCUUGCUCCUUUGACGUUAGCGGCGGACGGGUGAGUAACACGUGGGUAACCUACCUAUAAGACUGGGAUAACUUCGGGAAACCGGAGCUAAUACCGGAUAAUAUUUCGAACCGCAUGGUUCGAUAGUGAAAGAUGGUUUUGCUAUCACUUAUAGAUGGACCCGCGCCGUAUUAGCUAGUUGGUAAGGUAACGGCUUACCAAGGCGACGAUACGUAGCCGACCUGAGAGGGUGAUCGGCCACACUGGAACUGAGACACGGUCCAGACUCCUACGGGAGGCAGCAGUAGGGAAUCUUCCGCAAUGGGCGAAAGCCUGACGGAGCAACGCCGCGUGAGUGAUGAAGGUCUUCGGAUCGUAAACUCUGUUAUUAGGGAAGAACAUACGUGUAAGUAACUGUGCACGUCUUGACGGUACCUAAUCAGAAAGCCACGGCUAACUACGU
This 495-nucleotide ribosomal RNA is filed under the name uncultured bacterium. RNAcentral's name for it is "partial 16S ribosomal RNA". It matches the Rfam family "Bacterial small subunit ribosomal RNA", at positions 28 to 506 of the family's 1533-position model. The record is from RNAcentral.